AUUGAACGCUGGCGGCAGGCCUAACACAUGCAAGUCGAACGGUAACAGGAAGAAGCUUGCUUCUUUGCUGACGAGUGGCGGACGGGUGAGUAAUGUCUGGGAAACUGCCUGAUGGAGGGGGAUAACUACUGGAAACGGUAGCUAAUACCGCAUAACGUCGCAAGACCAAAAAGGGGGACCUUCGGGCCUCUUGCCAUCGGAUGUGCCCAGAUGGGAUUAGCUAGUAGGUGGGGUAACGGCUCACCUAGGCGACGAUCCCUAGCUGGUCUGAGAGGAUGACCAGCCACACUGGAACUGAGACACGGUCCAGACUCCUACGGGAGGCAGCAGUGGGGAAUAUUGCACAAUGGGCGCAAGCCUGAUGCAGCCAUGCCGCGUGUAUGAAGAAAGCCUUCGGGUUGUAAAGUACUUUCAGCGGGGAGGAAGGGAGUAAAGUUAAUACCUUUGCUCAUUGACGUUACCCGCAGAAGAAGCACCGGCUAACUCCGUG
Molecule: ribosomal RNA, 490 nt
Filed under: uncultured bacterium
Lineage: Bacteria
Description: partial 16S ribosomal RNA
Rfam family: Bacterial small subunit ribosomal RNA
Source: RNAcentral